Molecule: long non-coding RNA, 201 nt
Filed under: Prunus persica (peach)
Lineage: Eukaryota; Viridiplantae; Streptophyta; Magnoliopsida; Rosales; Rosaceae
Description: long non-coding RNA (PPER_LNC000611)
Source: RNAcentral
UUUCAAUCACAUUGAAAGAGUCUCAAUUUAUGGCUUGCAUGGCCAAGCCACCAUUUCAGCCCAAGGAACCACCUUUCAAUCACGUUGAAGGAGUCUCAAUUUCUGAGUGACCAAGUAUUCCGAAUGCACCAAAGAUAUCACCAUGCAUGGUUUGCGUAUGGCCAAGAAAAAAUUGCUCCGCUCACUCUGAAGGAUGCUCAC